This 425-nucleotide ribosomal RNA is filed under the name Atypoides gertschi. RNAcentral's name for it is "partial 16S ribosomal RNA". It matches the Rfam family "Bacterial large subunit ribosomal RNA", at positions 1831 to 2600 of the family's 2925-position model. The record is from RNAcentral. Lineage: Eukaryota; Metazoa; Arthropoda; Arachnida; Araneae; Antrodiaetidae.
UUCUUAAUGAAAUUUUUUUAAGUACAUCCUGCUCAAUGAAUUUUAAAUAGCUGCAUAAUUUUAGUGUACUAAGGUAGCAUAAUAAUUUGCCUUUUAAUUGAAGGCUAGAAUGAAUGGAUAUACGAAAGAAUAUUUGUCUCUAUUUUUUUUCUUGAAAUUACUUUUAUAAUAAAAAUUUUUAUAAAAAAUAAGAAAGACGACAAGACCCUAUCGAACUUUACUAACGUUUAGCUGGGGCGGCAAUUUGAAAAAAAUCUUCUUGUUCUACUUGAAUAUUAAAAAACCAAGUUACCGUAGGGAUAACAGCAUAAUCUUAUUUUAGAGCCCUUAUCAAAAUUAGAGAUUAUGACCUCGAUGUUGAAUAGAAAUCCUAAUAUAGAGCAAAAUUUUAAAUAGUAAGUCUGUUCGACUUUUAAUUUUCUACA